AUGGACAAGUACAAGGGAAGGGUAGAUGAGGCGCCGUCGAUCGGCUCCAGCAGCUGGGUGGUGGAGAUGGAGGCGACGAUCCGCGACAUCGACCCGGAGGUGGAGAUGGCGCGGUGGAAGCGCCACUCCAUCUACCAGGUGCCGGAGCGGAUCAAGAACCUGCACAACAGCAAGGCGUACCGGCCGGAGCUGGUGUCGCUGGGGCCCUUCCACCACGGCGAGCCCGACCUGCUCCCCAUGGAGGAGCACAAGCGCCGGGCGGUGGUGCACCUGGUCAAGCGCUCCGGGAGGCCGCUGCGGGACUUCGUCGCGGCCGUGGCGGAGGUGACGCAGCAGCUGCAGGAGGCGUACAAGGACCUCGCCGGCCAGUGGCGCGGCGCGGAGAACAGGCAGCGGUUCGUGGAGCUCAUGGUCACCGACGGCUGCUUUCUGGUGGAGGCCAUGAGGAUGGACGCGCUGGGUGGCAAGGUGGACGAUGAUUACGCGCCCAACGACCCCGUCUUUAGCCAGUAUGGCUAUCUUUACAUGUGGCGGUAUAUCCAGUCUGACAUGGUCAUCAUGGAGAACCAGCUGCCUCUGCUUCUUCUCCACAGGCUACUAGUCGUUCUGGAUCAUGACAGAUAUCAGGACGCCCGAGAGAUCACCAAGUUGGUUCUUGAUUCCCUGUGUCCGUGGCGUCGACACGUGGUUGAAACUAACCCAGUGGGGCUACACCCCCUCGACAUCUUACACCAAAGUCUUACCCAUGAUGACCACCAAGACCGGAAAGGUUCGAAGGCGUAUGUCAUGCCCUCCGCAAUUGAGAUCUACGAAGCAGGAAUAAAUUUCAAGGUGAGCGAGACUGACAGCCUCCUCGACGUGCACUUCGAACAAGGAGUGCUAAGCAUCCCGGCAGUUAGGGUCGACGAAUGCACCGAGAAGAGGUUCCUUAAUCUGAUGGCAUUCGAACGGCUCCACCCUGCUGCUGGCAAUGCUGUGACGGCCUACGUGAUCUUCAUGGACAACAUGAUUAGCUCGGCCAAGGAUGUAGCCCUGCUCAGAUGUACGAAUAUUAUCGAGAGUGGGUUGGGCAGCGAUGAAGAGGUAGCUAAACUCCUCAACAACACGCUAAACAAGGGAGGAGUGAUGAGCCCAUCUAGCAGGCUCCAUGAUGUGCAGAGGCAGGUGAAUGCCCACUGCAUGAAGAGCUGGAAUAGGUGGCGAGCUAACUUCAUACAAACCUACUUGAGAAAUCCUUGGGUGUUCAUUUCCCUCGUCGCCACUGUUAUUCUAUUAGUUGCUACACUCUUGCAGACCGUCUAUACGGUUGCACCUUUCUAUAAGUACAUGUCAACCUAG
This 1338-nucleotide ribosomal RNA is filed under the name Triticum aestivum (bread wheat). RNAcentral describes it as "partial small subunit ribosomal RNA". Lineage: Eukaryota; Viridiplantae; Streptophyta; Magnoliopsida; Poales; Poaceae. The record is from RNAcentral.